Molecule: transfer RNA, 74 nt
Filed under: Prevotellaceae bacterium
Lineage: Bacteria; Pseudomonadati; Bacteroidota; Bacteroidia; Bacteroidales; Prevotellaceae
Description: tRNA-Met
Rfam family: tRNA
About the family: Transfer RNA (tRNA) molecules are approximately 80 nucleotides in length. Their secondary structure includes four short double-helical elements and three loops (D, anti-codon, and T loops). Further hydrogen bonds mediate the characteristic L-shaped molecular structure. tRNAs have two regions of fundamental functional importance: the anti-codon, which is responsible for specific mRNA codon recognition, and the 3' end, to which the tRNAs corresponding amino acid is attached (by aminoacyl-tRNA synthetases). tRNAs cope with the degeneracy of the genetic code in two manners: having more than one tRNA (with a specific anti-codon) for a particular amino acid; and 'wobble' base-pairing, i.e. permitting non-standard base-pairing at the 3rd anti-codon position.
Source: RNAcentral
CGCGGGGUGGUAGCAGUGGGUAGCUCGCCAGCCUCAUAAGCUGGAGGUCGCAGGUUCGAGUCCUGCCCCCGUAA